GGCCCCGUAGCUCAGCUGGAUAGAGCAGCUGCGUCCUAAGCAGACGGUCGGGAGUUCGAAUCUCUCCGGGGUCGCCA
Molecule: transfer RNA, 77 nt
Filed under: Pseudomonadota bacterium
Lineage: Bacteria; Pseudomonadati; Pseudomonadota
Also listed under: 4 other names
Description: Proteobacteria bacterium (activated sludge metagenome) tRNA-Arg
Rfam family: tRNA
About the family: Transfer RNA (tRNA) molecules are approximately 80 nucleotides in length. Their secondary structure includes four short double-helical elements and three loops (D, anti-codon, and T loops). Further hydrogen bonds mediate the characteristic L-shaped molecular structure. tRNAs have two regions of fundamental functional importance: the anti-codon, which is responsible for specific mRNA codon recognition, and the 3' end, to which the tRNAs corresponding amino acid is attached (by aminoacyl-tRNA synthetases). tRNAs cope with the degeneracy of the genetic code in two manners: having more than one tRNA (with a specific anti-codon) for a particular amino acid; and 'wobble' base-pairing, i.e. permitting non-standard base-pairing at the 3rd anti-codon position.
Source: RNAcentral